UACGUAGGGUGCAAGCGUUAAUCGGAAUUACUGGGCGUAAAGCGUGCGCAGGCGGUUGUGCAAGACCGAUGGGAAAUCCCCGGGCUUAACCUGGGAAUGGCAUUGGUGACUGCACGGCUAGAGUGUGUCAGAGGGGGGUAGAAUUCCACGUGUAGCAGUGAAAUGCGUAGAGAUGUGGAGGAAUACCGAUGGCGAAGGCAGCCCCCUGGGAUAACACUGACGCUCAUGCACGAAAGCGUGGGGAGCAAACAGG
This 253-nucleotide ribosomal RNA is filed under the name uncultured bacterium. RNAcentral's name for it is "partial 16S ribosomal RNA". It matches the Rfam family "Bacterial small subunit ribosomal RNA", at positions 524 to 776 of the family's 1533-position model. The record is from RNAcentral.